UACGUAGGGGGCGAGCGUUGUUCGGAUUUACUGGGCGUAAAGAGCGCGUAGGCGGUUCGAUAAGUCGGAGGUGAAAUCCCUCGGCUCAACCGAGGACCCGCAGCCGAUACUGUCGAACUUGAGUGCAGGAGAGGAGAGCGGAAUUCCCAGUGUAGCGGUGAAAUGCGUAGAUAUUGGGAGGAACACCGGUGGCGAAGGCGGCUCUCUGGACUGUCACUGACGCUGAGGCGCGAAAGCUAGGGGAGCAAACGGG
Molecule: ribosomal RNA, 253 nt
Filed under: uncultured bacterium
Lineage: Bacteria
Description: partial 16S ribosomal RNA
Rfam family: Bacterial small subunit ribosomal RNA
Source: RNAcentral